AGCCAGACUCCUACGGGAGGCAGCAGUGGGGAAUAUUGCACAAUGGGGGAAACCCUGAUGCAGCGACGCCGCGUGAGUGAAGAAGUAUUUCGGUAUGUAAAGCUCUAUCAGCAGGGAAGAAAAUGACGGUACCUGACUAAGAAGCCCCGGCUAACUACGUGCCAGCAGCCGCGGUAAUACGUAGGGGGCAAGCGUUAUCCGGAUUUACUGGGUGUAAAGGGAGCGUAGACGGCAUGGCAAGUCGGAUGUGAAAGCCCGGGGCUCAACCCCGGGACUGCAUUUGAAACUGUCAGGCUGGAGUGCAGGAGAGGUAAGUGGAAUUCCUAGUGUAGCGGUGAAAUGCGUAGAUAUUAGGAGGAACACCAGUGGCGAAGGCGGCUUACUGGACUGUAACUGACGUUGAGGCUCGAAAGCGUGGGGAGCAAACAGGAUUAGAUACCCUAGUA
Molecule: ribosomal RNA, 446 nt
Filed under: uncultured bacterium
Lineage: Bacteria
Description: bacterial SSU rRNA
Rfam family: Bacterial small subunit ribosomal RNA
Source: RNAcentral